Molecule: RNA transcript, 2217 nt
Organism: Otolemur garnettii (small-eared galago)
Lineage: Eukaryota; Metazoa; Chordata; Mammalia; Primates; Galagidae
Gene: RABGGTA
Gene name: Rab geranylgeranyltransferase alpha subunit
Exons: 15
Source: RefSeq, a predicted model, not a curated record
GCCGCGGGCCCCUCCCCAAGCCUGCAGGGGGCGCUGCGCUUGAGUGAGCCGGGGCGGGGCGCCGCUCUAGCCAGCGCCCGGACUCGGUGGCGGACGCGGCUCCGCGUUCCCCGCGCCUCCUCCCAGUGCAGACUUCACAGGCUGCCACCGGACCCUACCCCUGUCCUGAACCCUGAGCCGGCACCAUGCACGGGCGCCUGAAGGUGAAGACAUCAGAAGAGCAGGCAGAGGCUAAAAGGCUAGAGCGGGAGCAAAAGCUGAAGCUAUACCAAUCAGCCACCCAGGCCGUCUUCCAGAAGCGCCAGGCUGGUGAGCUAGAUGAGUCAGUACUGGAACUGACAAGCCAGAUUCUGGGAGCCAACCCUGAUUUUGCCACCCUCUGGAACUGCCGACGAGAGGUUCUCCUGCAGCUGGAGGCCCAAAAGUCCCCUGAGGAGUUGGCCACUCUGGUGAAGGCUGAGCUGAGCUUCCUGGAGAGCUGCCUGAGGGUGAAUCCUAAGUCCUAUGGUACCUGGCACCACCGUUACUGGCUGCUGGGACGACUACCUGAGCCCAAUUGGGCCCGGGAGCUAGAGCUGUGUGCCCGCUUCCUGGAGGUCGAUGAGCGGAACUUUCAUUGCUGGGACUAUCGGCGGUUUGUGGCUGCACAGGCAGCUGUGCCCCCUGCAGAAGAGUUAGCCUUUACUGACAGCCUCAUCACCCGAAACUUCUCCAACUAUUCCUCUUGGCAUUACCGCUCCUGCCUCUUGCCCCAGCUGCACCCUCAGCCAGACUCUGGACCACAGGGGCGCCUCCCUGAGGAUGUGCUUCUCAAAGAGCUGGAACUGGUGCAGAAUGCUUUCUUCACUGACCCCAAUGAUCAGAGUGCCUGGUUCUAUCACCGCUGGCUUCUGGGCCGAGCUGACCCCCAGGAUGCGCUGCGCUGCCUGCAUGUGAGCCGGGACGAGGCCUGUCUGACUGUCUCCUUCUCUCGGCCCCUUCUAGUGGGCUCCAGGACAGAGACCUUGCUACUCAUGGUUGAUGAGUCACCCCUGAUUGUGGAGUGGAGGACCCCAGAUGGCAGGAACCGGCCCAGCCAUGUCUGGCUCUGUGACCUGCCUGCUGCCUCCCUCAAUGACCAGUUGCCUCAACACACCUUUCGUGUUAUUUGGACAGCAGGUGAUGCCCAGAAAGAAUGUGUGCUUUUACAAGGCCGCCAAGAAUGCUGGUGCCGUGACUCCACUACAGAUGAGGAGCUAUUCAGGUACGAGCUGUCAGUAGAGAAGUCCACGGUGCUACAGUCUGAGCUUGAAUCCUGUAAGGAGCUGCAGGAGCUGGAACCUGAAAAUAAAUGGUGCCUGCUUACCAUCAUCCUGCUGAUGCGGGCGCUAGACCCCCUACUGUAUGAGAAGGAAACACUGCAGUAUUUCCAGACCCUCAAGGCCGUGGACCCCAUGCGGGCAGCCUAUCUGGAUGACCUGCGCAGCAAGUUCUUGCUGGAGAACAGCGUGCUCAAGAUGGAGUAUGCCGAGGUGCGCGUGCUGCACCUGGCUCACAAGGUAGGGGCACAGCGCACCGUCCCCUGGGCCUGCACUGCCAGCCUCCCCUGCUUUGGGCUUUGCCUUUAGUCUCAGGUGACUUUCUGGAUCUUUCCUUACAAUCAAGAUGGAUUCUACCCCAUCCUUGCAGCCUGCUCCUCUUCCUGGCCUUGCUUUUUGUCACUUGGCCCAUCAUUUUCCCUCUCAUUCAGUGCCAAAUCCUGAGUCACCAGGGCCCCCAAUGGUGCCUUUUCCCAAGAGCAGAUAGGUUUUUCCUGUAAAGUGACCCCUCGCCCAUCCCCUCACCCCCUCCAUUCCCAUCCUUCUCACCCUGGGGUGGGCACCAACUUAAAGGCCAAAUAGUAUCUAGAGAUUUCAGAUAAACAGUCCAGGCUCUACUUUUCUUCUGUCUCUAGUCCUUCCCAGUUUUAUGAUAUCACCACAGCCCACCUCUGUUCCCAUCAAACCCAUCCACAGACUCAGCUGGUCUGCUCCUGCCAGUAUCUUUGCUCACUAAUAUCUGCUGCACCUAUUACCCUCCAGGCCACCCUUCACACCCACCCCCACACCCACCACUUGCUGACGUUCCCAUAACAUGUAGCAGGUACCACCAUGGGCUAUAAGGACCUGACAGUUCUCUGCCACCUGGAACAGCUGCUCUUGGUCACUCAUCUUGACUUGUCACAUAAUCGUCUUCGAG